UGUCGAUGAAGAGCGCAGCCAACUGUGUGAAUUAAUGUGACCUGCGUACUGCUUCGAACAUCGACAUCUUGAACGCAUAUUGCGGCCAUGGGCUAGCCUGUGGCCACGCCUGUCCGAGGGUCG
This 123-nucleotide ribosomal RNA is filed under the name Bacciger minor. RNAcentral describes it as "partial 5.8S ribosomal RNA". It matches the Rfam family "5.8S ribosomal RNA", at positions 33 to 154 of the family's 154-position model. From Rfam's summary of the family: 5.8S ribosomal RNA (5.8S rRNA) is a component of the large subunit of the eukaryotic ribosome. It is transcribed by RNA polymerase I as part of the 45S precursor that also contains 18S and 28S rRNA. Lineage: Eukaryota; Metazoa; Platyhelminthes; Trematoda; Plagiorchiida; Faustulidae. RNAcentral also lists the same sequence under 1 other name. The record is from RNAcentral.